This 266-nucleotide ribosomal RNA is filed under the name uncultured beta proteobacterium UMTRA-608. RNAcentral's name for it is "partial 16S ribosomal RNA". It matches the Rfam family "Bacterial small subunit ribosomal RNA", at positions 229 to 488 of the family's 1533-position model. The record is from RNAcentral. Lineage: Bacteria; Pseudomonadati; Pseudomonadota; Betaproteobacteria.
GCCGAUGUCUGAUUAGCUAGUUGGUGGGGUAAAGGCCUACCAAGGCRACGAUCAGUAGUUGGUCUGAGAGGACGACCAACCACACUGGGACUGAGACACGGCCCAGACUCCUACGGGAGGCAGCAGUGGGGAAUUUUGGACAAUGGGCGCAAGCCUGAUCCAGCCAUGCCGCGUGAGUGAAGAAGGCCUUCGGGUUGUAAAGCUCUUUCAGUUGGGAAGAAACGAUUGCAACUAAUAAUUGUAAUUAAUGACGUACCGACAGAAGA